Molecule: ribosomal RNA, 472 nt
Filed under: uncultured soil bacterium
Lineage: Bacteria
Description: bacterial SSU rRNA
Rfam family: Bacterial small subunit ribosomal RNA
Source: RNAcentral
AGCCUGAACGCUGGCGGCGUGGCUAAGACAUGCAAGUCGAACGGGUGUAGCAAUACACCAGUGGCGGACGGGUGAGUAAUGAAUCGCUAAUGUGCCCCGGAGCCAGGGAUAGCUAUCCGAAAGGAUAGGUAAUACCUGAUGAGACCACAGUGCCGCAUGGCACAGUGCUCAAAGCAGCAAUGCACUCUGGGAGCAGGCGAUUUUGUAUCAGCUUGUUGGUGAGGUAAUGGCUCACCAAGGCGACGACGCAUAGCCGGACUGAGAGGUUGGCCGGCCACAUUGGGACUGAGACACUGCCCAGACUCCUACGGGGGGCUGCAGUAACGAAUCUUCCGCAAUGCACGAAAGUGUGACGGAGCGACGCCGCGUGUAGGACGAAGCCCCUUCGGGUGUAAACUACUGUCAGGGAAAGAAAGUUACUGAUCUACCCCAGAGGAAGGACGGCUAACUCUGUGCCAGCAGCCGCGGUAAU